GAUGAACGCUGGCGGCGUGCCUAAUACAUGCAAGUCGAGCGAACGGACGAGAAGCUUGCUUCUCUGAUGUUAGCGGCGGACGGGUGAGUAACACGUGGAUAACCUACCUAUAAGACUGGGAUAACUUCGGGAAACCGGCGCUAAUACCGGAUAAUAUUUUGAACCGCAUGGUUCAAAAGUGAAAGACGGUCUUGCUGUCACUUCUAGAUGGAUCCGCGCUGCAUUAGCUAGUUGGUAAGGUAACGGCUUACCAAGGCAACGAUGCAUAGCCGACCUGAGAGGGUGAUCGGCCACACUGGAACUGAGACACGGUCCAGACUCCUACGGGAGGCAGCAGUAGGGUAUGUUCCGCAAUGGGCGAAAGCCUGACGGAGCAACGCCGCGUGAGUGAUGAAGGUCUUCGGAUCGUAAAACUCUGUUAUUAGGGAAGAACAUAUGUGUAAGUAACUGUGCACAGCUUGACGGUACCUAAUCAGAAAGCCACGGCUAACUACGUG
This 497-nucleotide ribosomal RNA is filed under the name uncultured bacterium. RNAcentral's name for it is "partial 16S ribosomal RNA". It matches the Rfam family "Bacterial small subunit ribosomal RNA", at positions 28 to 507 of the family's 1533-position model. The record is from RNAcentral.